Molecule: ribosomal RNA, 477 nt
Filed under: Candidatus Scalindua brodae
Lineage: Bacteria; Pseudomonadati; Planctomycetota; Candidatus Brocadiia; Candidatus Brocadiales; Candidatus Scalinduaceae
Description: bacterial SSU rRNA
Rfam family: Bacterial small subunit ribosomal RNA
Source: RNAcentral
UUCGCAAUGCCCGAAAGGGUGACGAAGCGACGCCGCGUGGGUGAGGAAGGCCUUCGGGUUGUAAAGCCCUGUCAGGAGUUAAGAAAUGUAAGUGUGCUAAUAUCGCAUUUACUUGACGAAGGCUCCAAAGGAAGUCACGGCUAACUCUGUGCCAGCAGCCGCGGUAAUACAGAGGUGGCAAGCGUUGUUCGGAAUUAUUGGGCGUAAAGAGCACGUAGGUGGGUUUGUAAGUCAGAUGUGAAAGCCUCCUGUUCAACGGGAGAAUUGCAUCCGAAACUACUGAUCUUGAGUAUAGGAGGGGAGAAUGGAACUUCUGGUGGAGCGGUGAAAUGCGUAGAUAUCAGAAGGAACGCCGGCGGCGAAAGCGAUUCUCUGGCCUAUUACUGACACUCAGUGUGCGAAAGCUAGGGGAGCAAACGGGAUUAGAUACCCCGGUAGUCCUAGCCGUAAACGAUGGGCACUAAGUAGAGGGGUUUU